CCUACGGGUGGCAGCAGUGAGGAAUAUUGGUCAAUGGACGAGAGUCUGAACCAGCCAAGUAGCGUGAAGGAUGACUGCCCUAUGGGUUGUAAACUUCUUUUAUAUGGGAAUAAUAUGUUCUACGUGUGGGCUUUUGUAUGUACCAUAUGAAUAAGGAUCGGCUAGCUCCGUGCCAGCAGCCGCGGUAAUACGGAGGAUCCGAGCGUUAUCCGGAUUUAUUGGGUUUAAAGGGAGCGUAGGUGGAUUGUUAAGUCAGUUGUGAAAGUUUGCGGCUCAACCGUAAAAUUGCAGUUGAAACUGGAGGUCUUGAGUACAGUAGAGGUAGGCGGAAUUCGUGGUGUAGCGGUGAAAUGCUUAGAUAUCACGAAGAACUCCGAUUGCGAAGGCAGCUCACUGGACUGCAACUGACACUGAGGCUCGAGAGUGUGGGUAUCAAACAGGAUUAGAUACCCCAGUAGUC
This 460-nucleotide ribosomal RNA is filed under the name uncultured bacterium. Its description in RNAcentral is "partial 16S ribosomal RNA". It matches the Rfam family "Bacterial small subunit ribosomal RNA", at positions 338 to 795 of the family's 1533-position model. The record is from RNAcentral.